Long non-coding RNA from Eriocheir sinensis (Chinese mitten crab), 1380 nucleotides. RefSeq lists it as uncharacterized. The transcript is spliced from 3 exons. The record is from RefSeq and is a predicted model, not a curated record. Lineage: Eukaryota; Metazoa; Arthropoda; Malacostraca; Decapoda; Varunidae.
GGACAAUACAGGAGAGGAAUUCCAGGAAAUAGAUGAGAUAGAAGCACAAAUGAGAAAAAGGACAAAAUAAAACAAAAACACACAAAAAUCCAGCAAGAAGGCCUUUGGUGUGGUAUAUUGGUAUGGCUGAGCCUUCUUUGGGGUGAAGGAGACUCGCUGUAGCAAGAUACGGCACCAGGUAGAGGCGAUGUAGAUACUGUCACACGACAAAUAAAGAAGAAUAACACCGGAGACAGGAUAAUACAGAAAAGGAAUGCCAGAAAAAAGAAAUCAGAUACAAAACACAACAUUAGCAAAACGAACAACUAGGAUUCAGGACUUUGGUGUGGUAUGUUGGUACAGGCGAGGCUUCUCAGGGGUGAAGGAGACUCGUCUGUGGCAGAAUACGGCACCAAGAAAAGCCGAUAUACAGUGGAAACAACACCAGAAAAAGGAAAAUGAAGAAAGAGAAAACCAGCACAAGGAAAAUACAGAAAAAAGAACACCAGAAAAAGAAUUGCUGACCCUGACUUAACUGUCGGGGUGGGAUGCUGACCCUGACUUAACUGUCGGGGUGGGAUGCUGACCCUGACUUAAUUGUCGGGGUGGGAUGCUGACCCCAGCUUGAAUGUUGGGGUGGGAUGCUGACCCCAGCUUGAAUGUUGGGGUGGGAUGCUGACCCUGACGUAAAUGUCGGGGUGGGAUGCUGACCCCAGCUUGAAUGUUGGGGUGGGAUGCUGACCCUGACGUAAAUGUCGGGGUGGGAUGCUGACCCUGACGUAAAUGUCGGGGUGGGAUACUGACCUUUAAAGGAAGGAAAAUGAGCUGUUGCGAUGUCUUAUUUUAUCGACAAAGGAAUCAACGUUUUGGAAACAAAGAAAGGAAAAUAUGGUUUUGAGUUCGUUUAGUUUUAUCGACAAAGGAAUCAACGUUUUGGAAACAAAGAAAGGAAAAUAUGGUUUUGAGUUCGUUUAGUUUUAUCGACAAAGGAAUCAACGUUUUGGAAACAAAGAAAGGAAAAUAUGGUUUUGAUUGGUUUAGUUUUAUCGACAAAGGAAUCAACGUUUUGGAAACAAAGAAAGGAAAAUAUGGUUUGAGUUCGUUUAGUUUUAUCGACAAAGGAAUCGACUUUUUGGAAACAAAGAAAGGAAAAUAUGGUUUUGAGUUCGUUUAGUUUUAUCGACAAAGGAAUCAACAUUUUGGAAACAAAGAAAGGAAAAUAUGGUUUUGAGUUUGUUUAGUUUUAUCGACAAAGGAAUCGACAUUUUGGAAACGAAGAAAGGAUAACGAGUUAUUGCGACGUGUUUUUAUCGACAAAGGAAUCAACGUUUUGGAAACAAAGAAAGGAAAUGAAUGUCACCCUAAACACGCUGUCAUGUCUCCCGUUCUCUAUAUAUUGCU